AUACGGAGGAUGCGAGCGUUAUCUGGAUUUAUUAGGUUUAAAGGGUGUGUAGGCGGUAUUUUAAGUCAGUGGAGAAAUCUUUCAGUUUAACUGAGAAACUGCCAUUGAUACUGGAAUACUUGAGUAUAGUUGAGGUAGGCGGAAUAUGUAAUGUAGCGGUGAAAUGCAUAGAUAUUACAUAGAACACCGAUUGCGAAGGCAGCUUACUAAACUAUUACUGACGCUGAUGCACGAAAGCGUGGGGAGCGAACAGGAUUAGAAACCCUUGUAGUCC
This 274-nucleotide ribosomal RNA is filed under the name uncultured bacterium. RNAcentral's name for it is "partial 16S ribosomal RNA". It matches the Rfam family "Bacterial small subunit ribosomal RNA", at positions 523 to 796 of the family's 1533-position model. The record is from RNAcentral.